CUUCGAAACCGAAACCCCCUUUGCGAGAUUCGCCGCAUCUAUACCUGAUUUGCGUUCAAAAAUGCCUGCUUAAUUAUUCCAUAGUAGGACCAAACAUGCCUUAAGAAAAGGAGUACGUUUGAAACUGUAGGAACCAUAAAAAGUACGCCAGGUGAAUGCCUUUCUACUCCAGGAAGCCGCAGCAUACGCCUGAAGCAGGAAGAGGACGCGGUCAGUUUGAAAUAGCUGAAUCGAUGUCAUCCUGAAAGCAACAGUACAGUUAAGAAGCCCAUGUUUAACUGUAUCUCCACAAAGCUGGGCCAGUUCUGCAGAUGAUCAGAGGGACUUCGCCAUCAUCACAUGCCUCAUUGCUGCAGUCAGACUGAAACAGGACGGUGAUGCAUGGCAGUCCAUGCCCGAGAUACGGAUGAUGAAGAGACCACAGCAACAUCUGGUCCAGAUGAGGACACAAGGGCAGGUGGACUGAUGCAGGGUCUUGUUCAAUUCACUACAGGAGAACAGGAGUGGCCAAACUCAGUCCAGAACUGCUGCUGUCUUGCAGAGUUUACUUGAAGUUGACUCUAAACUCUGCAGGACACCAGCCGUCCAGAACUAAGUUUGGGCACCCCUGCAUUACAGCAUUUCCAGGAUGCUGCUGUGGACUUUUUUGCCCUCACCACACACACCAAUCUGCAGCUAUUUCAGAUCAUACAAAACAUUAAAAAAAAAAAUAAAAUAAAAAACAGUCAUUUUACUGCACAAUGUGUCAUUUGAUUUCUGUAGUGCUAGUAAUAAAAUUAUCCUACCUCU
This 789-nucleotide long non-coding RNA is filed under the name Danio rerio (zebrafish). RNAcentral's name for it is "lncRNA si:dkeyp-98f5.1 (ENSDARG00000097312.3)". Lineage: Eukaryota; Metazoa; Chordata; Actinopteri; Cypriniformes; Danionidae. The record is from RNAcentral.